Molecule: transfer RNA, 79 nt
Filed under: Steccherinum ochraceum
Lineage: Eukaryota; Fungi; Basidiomycota; Agaricomycetes; Polyporales; Steccherinaceae
Rfam family: tRNA
About the family: Transfer RNA (tRNA) molecules are approximately 80 nucleotides in length. Their secondary structure includes four short double-helical elements and three loops (D, anti-codon, and T loops). Further hydrogen bonds mediate the characteristic L-shaped molecular structure. tRNAs have two regions of fundamental functional importance: the anti-codon, which is responsible for specific mRNA codon recognition, and the 3' end, to which the tRNAs corresponding amino acid is attached (by aminoacyl-tRNA synthetases). tRNAs cope with the degeneracy of the genetic code in two manners: having more than one tRNA (with a specific anti-codon) for a particular amino acid; and 'wobble' base-pairing, i.e. permitting non-standard base-pairing at the 3rd anti-codon position.
Source: Rfam by way of RNAcentral
GGCCGCCUGGCGAAAUGGCAUCGCGUCUGACUACGAGUUGGUAAUCAGGAGAUUGCAGGUUCGACCCCUGCGGUGGUCA